CCUUAACCCACUAUGCCAGGCUGGGGCUCAGACCUGUGCCUCCACAGAGACAAGCUGGAUCAUUAACCCACUGUGCCACAGUGGGAACUCCUCAGUUUUUUAAUUAAGUUCUUUUGCAUCUUUUUUAUCAGGUUCCACAUGUAAGUGAUAUUACUGGGACUUCUUAAAGCUUAGGUCUAGCGCUAAUAUUAGCGUCAUCUCCACUGAUUCUGUCAGCUAAUAUCUCAGACCAAACCCACAUUCAGAAGGAAGACCCCACACCAAGAUGUAAAUACUGGGAGGAAAAGUUUAUUGGAGCUCCCCAAUGUAAUGACCAUAAGGGCAAUUUAUAUUCCACCUUUCAAACUUAUACUGUAUUUCUUUAGGGCCAUGGAAGAGGCAAGAAUUUAAAAAAAAAAAAAAAGUUUUCAGGUAAAGUAAUUGAAAGGGAGGUACUAGAUGAGACUUGUAGAAGGGGUAGAAGGUAAGAGAAAUGUAAUCAACCCCAAAAUAGCCUAACUGAACAAAACUGUUGUAAAAAUUGUGCCUUAAUAUAUUGCAGGGUUGUUUUUUUUUUAAUCGUUAAACUAGCUUAUUGGAAAAUAAGGAGUUGCCUAUAGAAGCUUUGUCAGCCACUGCGUAUUACGUAUUACAUAAUCCUCGAGAAGAUGAACAAAGAGAAUGACACACAAGGUCAUUACAGGAGUGUAUACACUACACCCUCACCAGGAAUCAGGAUGAUGGUCAGGCUAACAAGCAGGGUCAUUACACAGACAAUAGCAGGCAGUGGCUCAACCUCUACAUCCCAAGCUCCACACAGACCACUACAGCCUGGCGUGGGUUCUGUUAAGUUUCUUCUGGGCCCUCACUGGAAAGGGACUAGGGAAUACCCUCGUUCUACAGGCCAUUUUUAUGCAGCAGCUUUACUUCCUCAAAUCAAUGAAGCCAUUGAAACUCUAUGGAUCUUCCAUUAAUGAGACUUAUAUAUGAUAUAGAUCUUUAUUUCCUUCCAUAAGGCCACUGGAAGAAACCACAGAAUUCUGAGAGGUUUUGGGUGGGUCUUGCUUGAUAAGAACAAGUUAGGUUUAUUUGUUAAUUGCUUUGGAUUGCCUCAUAUUUUGAUAGCAUUCCACAAAACUUGUUUGUAAGCCUUAACUACACAUGCCUACCAACUUAAUGUCAUAUUUAAUAUUUUCAAAGAAAAAAAUCAUAUAAAUUAAAACUGACAUUUAUUGGCAUUUCCUUAGUUUUUUUCUGAAGGUCGACUGGUCUUUUUAUUAUUUAAAUUUGGGAGGCCAUCUUAGAAAAAGAAGAGAAAAAGUUAAGUCAUUGAAUAGCACAAAUAAUACUAUUUGAAGAAACUCACAAAAGAUGUUUUCCCAAAUUGAACAUAUGGAGCAUAAUAUGUUAUGACAUUAGUUUUCCUUUUUAUUUCUAAACAUCUACUAAAAUGACUUUAUUUCUGCAAUAUGCAAGAUCCUUUCAUCAAGCCAAAUGGUCGAAUUAGCAUUUACAUCAUUUUAAAUUAUGACACCAAGUUAACAAAAUAGAAGCGCUAAAGUAGAAACAAUAAAACAUUAACACUCACAUCACCUAAACCUUGUCUUCUCUUUCUGGAUGCUGCAGCUUCUUUAGAUGAAACGCGAAUGGAUUUUCAAGGAGGAGAAAGAGCAAUACCAUGGUUCUGUAAAAUAACUGUAAAUUCAUCUCAAGAAUCUUCUAACAAAGUCCCAUAAAUGCUUGACAGGAAUCUCUGUCAUUAUAUUCACCACUGACAAAGUACUUAACAUAAGCAAACUUCCUGUUAAGUCAGUAGGAGAUGCUGAUCCACAAUCACAGUAGGUAUCAGAUGCCUUGGGGCCACUGAGCAAAAACUGAGAUGGACAGAGAAACUCAUGCUUUGCUCCUAGGAUGUCAUCCCAUAGACAGGAUUAGAGUGAAUAAGAAUAUGUAUAAAAUCAUUUAAAAUUUUUCUGGGGGUGUUAAAAGGUUUUAACCAAAUUUAAAGUUACACAAUAAGUAUACUCAAUGUCAUCACCACCUCUUCACGCUUCAUAUUAACAAGACAGAAGAGUAGUACCCAGUGAUAGUCAUGUGGUGGUCGAUAGUCGUUAAAGAACAUUCACUUCCAUCUUCUUUGGUGUGUGAAACAAGAUUUAUUAUCUAAUGUUUAUUAUUUGCCAAAAAUGUAUUAGCAAUACCUCAUAAAAUUUGACAGUAGUUAAUAUAUGACUAUAUCCCAGAACUUUAAACACGCAGUUUUCUAACGUCACUGUUUACGAAUCCAGAAAGUAAGAUUAUAAGUUUCCAUUAAUCAUUUUUUAUAAGGAUGCAAUUACUGAAUAAGAAUAGUUCAAGUAAAAACAUCAGAACUGUCAGAACUGGUUGAGGCAAAGUAAAUGAAAGAUAGAAGCACUUAGGAAACAUACAGCACAGCACAAAAGAGUGAUCAUCAGGGGUUCCCCUCGUGACGCAGUGGAAAUGAAUCCGACGGGGAACCAUGGUUCAAGGGAUUGAACCAUGAGGCAGGUUCAAUCCCUAGCCUCACUCAGUGGCUUAAGGAUCCAGCGUUACCGUGAGCUAAGGUGUAGGUUGCAGACGAGGCUCGGAUCUGGUGCUGCUGUGGCUCUGGUGUAGGCUGGCAGCAACAGCUCCAAUGUGACCGCUAGCCUGGGAACUUCCAUAUGCCAUGGGCAUGGCCCUAAAAAAAAGACAAAAGACAAAAAAUAAAAAGAGUCAUCAUCAUCAUCAUUCUCCAAAGGAUGGAAAAUACCCAAUUAUAAAAGGAAAGAAACACGAAAGUGUGGGCAGAGUUUCUAACAGAAAGGCCAUUGUUUACCCAUAAGUCUCACGCCUUAGAAAUAGGAACACCUGCCAGGUAAUUAAAUACACCCACAUGCAGAAAUGUUCCAUUGCUUUUUUUUUUUUAAUUUUAAUUACCAUCAUUUAUUAUAAUCACUAACAAGUAAUUUUCUAAGCAACAUAAGAUCAGCAUUGAAAUUGAAGUAAGCUAAACAGUCAAAAUCUGUUCAAGUCACCACCCUUGGCUACACGUGUACUGAUUCAAGGACAAGACUAUUGAGCGUCAAGAUUUCCUCUGCAUUUUCUUGCCUAUGUAGCAAAGCAGCUCCUGCAGUCAAGGGCAGCCACUACACUGGAACACUGAUAAAUUAUACUGCUCAGUGAAACUAAGUUUAGUAGGGUGUAACCCAUCAUUUCUUCACCUGCACCCAAGCCAAUUUGGCUUUCCACACCCAUUAUAUCUCCAUGUCCAAUUAAGUGACAUUUAUCUUUAAGCCUUUAAGCCCCUCUAAGAGCCUUGGUCCUUAACUUUUAGCAAAGUAUUGGUACUAUUGGAAAUUUAUGUCUUUAAUGCCACAAAGAAAAUAUGAAACUUCUUCCUCAGUCAGGAAAGAAAGAAACUGUUUCGAAUAAAUUUUUAAAGCUGAGAUUCUCCAUACCAGAAAUGCUCAACUCACAGCGAUAUUAAACACAAACAUAUUCAAAACACACACUAAAAAUACAUGUUCAAGAAGCUUUAAGAAGCAUGUCUUACCUUUCCUAUAUAUGAGACACUCUAAUGUUUUCUACUCUUUUUUUAUACUGCUCAUGAGCCCUAAUUUGGUUUUACCAACCCACUAAUUGGGCACUAAUUUGAAAAACACAGCUCCUUCUAUUCAAAUACCAAUUUAUAAUUCUUCAUAAAAAUCACAGUAUUGGUAUGACACUGCCAGCAGAUGAGACAAAAAAAGACACUCCAAAGAGGUAACCGACUAGUGAAUAGGCCCAUUUCUGAAACAUGAAUGAGAUAAGCAACAAGAUAUCCAGAGCAGGUGAGCAGCAACCUCACUUCUGGAAAAGCAAACCUGAUGUUUGUUACCACAUUGAAAGGACUCUGUAACAGAAGCUUGGACAGGAAAAUGGAAACUUAAACAUGAUUUUACUUUUUCUCAUUAUGUAGGCAUGACAUUUUAACUGAUAAUAUCUCCAGUUGAAAAGGAUGCAAGAGAACAUGUGUGCUGUUAUUAGGACUGUAAUUUUGUACAGCAGUUUGGGAGAGCGACUGGGAGCAUAUAACUAAAUUUUGAACACACAUCCCCUCUUGACUCAGCAAUUCUAAUAAUGUGUGUCAGGCUCUUACAGGUGCACAGACACAUUAUACGUAAAAAGACACUGACCAGAGGGGAGGAAAGACUCAUUCAUGGUAUAAUCACAGUUUUUAAUUAUAUGAAGAAAUGAGAAAAAGACAAGCUAUUUCCAUAUCACUGUUUCUCAACGGGAUGCCACUGGCGGUCUGGGUGGGAUACUUUGUCAUAAAAGGCCCUCACAUAUUCAAAAAUAUCCCCUAGGGGAGGGUGGCACGAUCUUUGAUUGAGAGAAACCACUAUUCCAGGUGUACUGUAAAGAAUCAAAGAAAGAUGUUACGAGAAAAAAAAAAAGCAAGCAAGCUGCAGAACCAUACAUACAGUUUGACUCUAACUAUAUGAAAUGAAAAUAAAUCAGCCCCAUUGGUGUGUGUGUGCUCUGAAUGUAGUCAAUUCAGGGACCUGUGAAGGGAUUUCUAAAUCCUGCUUUAUGAGCCCUGAUACUGUUUGAUUUUAAAAGAAAAAGAAUUUCUUUAUGAACACAUGGUUUAAUUUUAUUGGGUAAACAAUACUUUAUGUGGGGAUGCUAAACUCCAUAAGAUAUUUCACAGUGGCUACUUUGAGAGCUAGGAUUGGGUACCACCUUGGAAUGAUCUAUAAAACAGGGAGGGAAAGAGAAUAAGAGGAAUGAAUAUGUUUCUAGUAACAUCUUGAGUCAUAAAAGUCACUUUCCUAUUAAAGUGUUAAGAUCUUUCUUUAAUAAGUUAAUUAAACAUACAUAAAAAGAAUUAAAACAUAGAACUUGAACAACAUUACUUGAGUUUUAAGUUCACACUGUCACCCUCUUCCCACAAUACAUGUAAAAAUAUGACCUCUGACCUCCACAUCCAGCUCGUAUUUCAUGCUCCUUUUAUUCAGGUCAGCAGCUGGUCCACCCACCUGCCCCACCCGACGGAAGCUCUGUGAGGCCAGGGGCCAGAUUCAAUCCAUUGGUCACUCUCCACUCUCCCUUGAAAGGCUGCUUGUCAGUAAGAGGUUGUUUUUGUUUGGUUUGUUUUUCGUUUUUGUUUAAUCUGUGAAACAAACACCUGGCUUGGCAUGAUUUUUAACUAGUUUAUAGUGUUGAGACAAGUGAGAGGAAAAUGGACCAUAUUCAAGAGCAAGAGUUGAACACAAAAUUACUAUCAGUCAUUCUUUCCUACUAUAAGGAAUUUAAGUUUUUUCUAUUUUAGUAACUUUGAAACUAAAAGAACUAAGCAAAGGCCACAUGAUAUACUAUCAUUUUAUGUGAGGAAUUAAUCAAAAGGAUUACAUGCAAAUAAAAUCAGCAGAAUAAUAACAGUACUCCGCAGCACACACUGCAGUGCCCAGAAGAUUGGGUUCUCCUCUCUCUUCCUUUUUUUCUUUCUUUCUUUCUUUUUUUUUGGGGGGGGAGGGCAGUGCCCAAGGCAUGUGGAAGUUCCUGAGCCAGGGAUCAAACCUGUGGUGCCACAGCAGCGACCUAAGCUGGUGCAGUGAUGCUGGACCCUCAACCCACUGCACCACAAGAGAACUCCCCAAGUCCUCUCUCUUAUUAACACAACACCAACUACCUUCCAGGGCAGCCACGUGCACAGAUGAAAACACAAGAGCCCCCC
This 5701-nucleotide long non-coding RNA is filed under the name Sus scrofa (pig). RNAcentral's name for it is "lncRNA (ENSSSCG00000057690.1)". Lineage: Eukaryota; Metazoa; Chordata; Mammalia; Artiodactyla; Suidae. The record is from RNAcentral.